CGCGAACGUUGGCGGCGUGCCUAACACAUGCAAGUCGAGGGGCAGCAGGCCUGAAUUCUUCGGAAUUUAGGUGCUGGCGACCGGCGAACGGGUGAGUAACGCGUAGCUAAUCUACCCAUAGGACGGGGAUAACCCCCCGAAAGGGGGGCUAAUACCCGAUAAAGAGGAGACUCCAAAGGGGCUUUUAGCCCGCCUAUGGAUGAGGCUGCGUUCCAUCAGCUAGUUGGUGAGGUAAGAGCUCACCAAGGCUACGACGGAUAGCUGGUCUGAGAGGAUGGCCAGCCACAGUGGGACUGAGACACGGCCCGCACCCCCACGGGGGGCAGCAGUGGGGAAUAUUGGGCAAUGGCCGAAAGGCUGACCCAGCAACGCCGCGUGGUGGAAGAAGCCCUUCGGGGUGUAAACACCUGUCAGUGGGGAAGAUAAUGACGGUACCCACAGAGGAAGGGACGGCUAACUACGUGCCAGCAGCCGCGGUAAUACGUA
Molecule: ribosomal RNA, 486 nt
Filed under: uncultured Hydrogenothermaceae bacterium
Lineage: Bacteria; Pseudomonadati; Aquificota; Aquificia; Aquificales; Hydrogenothermaceae
Description: bacterial SSU rRNA
Rfam family: Bacterial small subunit ribosomal RNA
Source: RNAcentral